RNAcentral lists this ribosomal RNA (407 nucleotides) under uncultured bacterium. Its description in RNAcentral is "partial 16S ribosomal RNA". It matches the Rfam family "Bacterial small subunit ribosomal RNA", at positions 30 to 526 of the family's 1533-position model. The record is from RNAcentral.
AUUGAACGCUGGCGGCAGGCCUAACACAUGCAAGUCGAGCGGAGCGGCGGACGGGUAAGUAAUGCCUAGUAAUCUGCCUGGUAGUGGGGGAUAACGUCCGGAAACGGGAGCUAAUACCGCAUACUAUCAGAUGAGCCUAGGUCGGAUUAGAUAGUUGGUGGGGUAAAGGCCUACCAAGGCGACGAUCCGUAACUGGUCUGAGAGGAUGAGCAGUCAAACUGGAACUGAGACACGGUCCAGACUCCUACGGUAGGCAGCAGUGGGGAAUAUUGGACAAUGGGCGAAAGCCUGAUCCAGCCAUGCCGCGUGUGUGAAGAAGGGCUUCGGAUUGUAAAGCACUUUCAGCGGGGAGGCGUUACCCGCAGAAGAAGCACCGGCUAACGCCGUGCCAGCCGCCGCGGUAAUAC